AUUGAACGCUGGCGGCAGGCUUAACACAUGCAAGUCGAGCGGGGGAAGGUAGCUUGCUACCGGACCUAGCGGCGGACGGGUGAGUAAUGCUUAGGAAUCUGCCUAUUAGUGGGGGACAACAUCUCGAAAGGGAUGCUAAUACCGCAUACGUCCUACGGGAGAAAGCAGGGGAUCUUCGGACCUUGCGCUAAUAGAUGAGCCUAAGUCGGAUUAGCUAGUGGGUGGGGUAAAGGCCUACGCAGGCGACGAUCUGUAGCGGGUCGGAGAGGAUGAUCCGCCACACUGGGACUGAGACACGGCCCAGACUCCUACGGGAGGCAGCAGUGGGGAAUAUUGGACAAUGGGGGGAACCCUGAUCCAGCCAUGCCGCGUGUGUGAAGAAGGCCUUAUGGUUGUAAAGCACUUUAAGCGUGGAGGAGGCUACUUUAGUUAAUACCUAGAGAUAGUGGACGUUACUCGCAGAAUAAGCACCGGCUAACUCUGUGCCAGCAGCCGCCGUAA
Molecule: ribosomal RNA, 501 nt
Filed under: uncultured bacterium
Lineage: Bacteria
Description: partial 16S ribosomal RNA
Rfam family: Bacterial small subunit ribosomal RNA
Source: RNAcentral